GAUGAAGAACGUAGCGAAAUGCGAUACGUAAUGUGAAUUGCAGAAUUCAGUGAAUCAUCGAGUCUUUGAACGCACAUUGCGCCCCCUGGUAUUCCGGGGGGCAUGCCUGUCCGAGCGUCAUUGCUGCCCUCAAGCACGGCUUGUGUGUUGGGCCUCCGUCCUCCUCCCGGGGGACGGGCCCGAAAGGCAGCGGCGGCACCGCGUCCGGUCCUCGAGCGUGUGGGGCUUCGUCACCCGCUCUUGUAGGCCCGGUCGGCGCUUGCCGACACAUCAAUCUUUUUUCCAGGUUGACCUCGGAUCAGGUAGGGAUACCCGCUGAACUUAAGCAUAUCAAUAAGCGGAGGA
This 345-nucleotide unclassified non-coding RNA is filed under the name soil metagenome. Its description in RNAcentral is "partial contains 5.8S ribosomal RNA, internal transcribed spacer 2, and large subunit ribosomal RNA". The stretch from base 1 to 120 matches the Rfam family "5.8S ribosomal RNA", at positions 35 to 154 of the family's 154-position model. The record is from RNAcentral.